Long non-coding RNA from Polyodon spathula (Mississippi paddlefish), 3057 nucleotides. RefSeq lists it as uncharacterized. The record is from RefSeq and is a predicted model, not a curated record. NCBI's taxonomy places the organism in Eukaryota, Metazoa, Chordata, Actinopteri, Acipenseriformes, Polyodontidae. The transcript is spliced from 4 exons.
CAUGAUGAGGAGCGCACUGCUUCAAACCCUGGUUCUGGAUGAUGAGGAGCGCACUGCUUCAAACCCUGGUUCUGCAUGAUGAGGAGCGCACUGCUUCAAACCCUGGUUCUGCAUGAUGAGGAGGAGCUUGCUGCUUCAAACCCUGGUUCUGCAUUUCAUAAGGAAAAUGUUGGGUAUCCUGUUGUCUGUGAAAAGUGGAUGUCCCAGUGAUUGCAGGCAGCAAUCAACACAUACAUUGUAACUAUUUGCAUUCCAGCUGCAAAUUUACUGUAUAUUGAUAAGGCCUGAAUAAGUGGAUCAAGAACUCCUCAUACAUUCAACAGUAAAUUACGUUCAAUGAACAUAAAUUCAACCUCUUGAAUAAGAUUUAAUAAUUACAUACAAACGUUGGAAGAAAACAAUGCCUUUGUGACCUGGGUCCACGAGAUGGCGCACUUUGUAUUUAAAAUUGCUUAACUAGAACCACAUAUUACAUCAUUUCAAAGGUUAUAGCAAAGAGUGGUGUUCUCGUGGGAUAAUCCGACAAGUUAGUCAGUAAAAAUCAGGAUACUUACUGUGUAUAUGAGAUAUGUGACCUGAUGGACGCUCUGCCCAUGGAGAGCCGAGGCCUGGAGGAGGCUGUUUUCAGUGAUGAUCACAUUCUGAUGACUGCGGCCGACACCUUCAAUGCUGGAGUGGAAACCACUUUUUAGCUUCUGAAGCAGACCUUGACACAAAAUCUUUCAUGGAGCAAGCUGGAGCUGUUUCUCUUCACCAACUCACCUCUCCAGCAUUCUUGCACCACCACCCCCCUCCCCCCUCGAGUUGGUGCCCGACCUUGAAGGGGAAUACAUGGUAGUCCUGCAGCCUCAGAGCUAGUGUGUCACUUUGUGGCAUGGCUGGAUAACGAAAAACAAGAACAAUGAAACCCCCACAGUUCAGCGUGUUAUUGGACGGGUGUGCCAAAGGAUAUGCUCAGGUAUUGGGCAGAAAUCACUGGCUAUAUUGUAGGACAUCUACACAGGUUUCUUGUACAUCCCUGACGAAUUGAUGCCCAAAACUCAUUGUGUUUGUAAUUUUGGCCCCCAAAAUGUUCUCAAUCAGGAAUUGUUCAGUAAAAAGCCUUUUGCUGUUCCCACACAAUUCGGGCCAGGUCAUAUUGUGCAGUCACACCUUUUUUUUGCAGAUAAUGUUGAGUAAGUCAAUUCAGUUAUGCUCUAAAUAACAGUGCGGCUGCUUUGGUUCUUACAGGCCAACAACACAAGACACAAGUGUAUUUCACAUUAUUCAGAGUGGUGGGCAAUUCUGCAAGAGGUGCCCUUGGAAUUUGUGGAUGGUGUUCCUUGAUGUGAUGUGUCUGUGCUGUGACAUUGACAGGUGGCUUACGAGCAUGAAUUUGCAGUGUGCUGAGCAACCUCCAGCACUGGCAUUGUCACAUUUUAUUUUAUUUCUAAAUCAAAGGUUUUCUGAUUUUAAUUUAUACUUCCACUCAGUUUUGCAAAUGUACCAUCUAGAUUCUCUGCUACUGUGAAAUGCUUAUAAAAACAGGUUAAUUGAAAUGUAUUUAAAACAAGAUUCUAGAUUCUAAACGCAGGUUAAUUUUAGAGGGGGAUAAUGAUACUCUACUUGGAACUUGAUUAGCCAUCCGUGAGGUGUAUACCAGAUGCAGUAUUUUGCACUGAUCUUAAAAACAAUCAGUCACGAUUCCACUUAUCCCCCGCUGGUGAUGAAAUCCCCAGUGAAGUGGAUACAGUGCAGACAGGCCAUAUAUACUUCCUACUGCUCAGGAAUACCACUUAUCCAACUGCCAUGAAACUGGUAUUCACAUUAUCUAGUUUCAGGUAUUGAGAGUGUCAGCUGCUAGGGAUAUAGGGAGGUUGCCUGUGUGUCACACUUACAUUUUUCAACAUAUCUGGAUAAUGGCUUAUCAAAUUGUCAUUGUAAUUCUUUUUCUAUACUAUUCUGUGCAUGCUGUUGAUGUGUGUGACAGUCGCUUGCGUUUCAGCAUACUGCUCGCUCUUAAUUUUGAAUUUUAGGCUGUGGUGGAUGGUGUAUGUAACUGACAUACUUGCUUUUAAAGGCUGUUGAAACAUUGUUUCCUGUCUUGUUUUUAUUUGUUUACCAACAUUGGCUUUUAAUACAAAUGAUAAUGCAAGCCGCUGUAACCAGCGAUUCUGUCCAAGGAUCAGUCUAGGUUGAACUUUAGAUAAGUGUUUUUGGAUUUAGAAACUGAAAAUCAACAGACACCCAACAAAAGCUUAACAAUUAGAAUUAUUUUUUAACAGAAAAGAAAUCUUCUGUGCUUUGGUUUGCAUUAUUUUAUUAAAAUGAAGUCUGUUUAGCACUUAUAACAUUUACUUUCACAAAUUCACAGGUUCUUCAUGAGCAACAUUCACUGUCAAUUGCAAUUAAGCAGUUACAGUCCUAUUACUGUAAUGGUGAAAUUCUGAAAGUGAGUCGUCUUUAAUGGCUGGAUCCUUUAAAAAAAAUAUAUAAAGAAGAAUGACAAAACUUGACAAGUAGGAUGAAAACCAGACAGGAUGGAAUAGAGGAUAUGGUACUUGUAAAAUAUAUAUUUGAAAAAAUACACCCACAAAAGAGUUAUAAAAAAUGCAUCAAUGUAAGUACACAGAGUAAGAUAAUGGACACCUCUGAUCUGGCUAUAGAGAACAUCAAGUUUUGAUUUAAAACAGUAAAAGUACAACACUGUACUAAAGUGUUAAUGUUAAACACUGGAAACAAAAGGCCAAAUGGCCACUAUAACACAGGCUUCCAUACAUCUUUAACUGUUAGUUUGUAGCAAGCACACACAAGCAAGUUGAUUUUUCAGAAGUGAUAUAGAGCACAAACUUACAUCGGUUGUUUACCCCACUGAAAGCCAGAACAUCUUUCUAUAAACCGAGUGCUCGUCAUGCCUAUCCUUAGAAAGUAAACUCAUGAGAUGUGACUUGAUACAGACUUACAGAUCUUAACACAUAAAUCAAGCAUGGAACUGACACAGCCUGGCUGUGUAUAGAAAUUAGAAUUCCAAAAUAAAUGGGAAAAAAAAAUAAACGAGACAAUACAAUAGUCUUCCCC